UGGGGAAUAUUGCACAAUGGGGGAAACCCUGAUGCAGCAACGCCGCGUGAGUGAUGAAGGUUUUCGGAUCGUAAAGCUCUGUCUUUGGGGAAGAUAAUGACGGUACCCAAGGAGGAAGCCACGGCUAACUACGUGCAG
RNAcentral lists this ribosomal RNA (138 nucleotides) under uncultured bacterium. Its description in RNAcentral is "partial 16S rRNA". It matches the Rfam family "Bacterial small subunit ribosomal RNA", at positions 355 to 510 of the family's 1533-position model. The record is from RNAcentral.